GGGGGGAGACCGGAUCCUGGGCUGUGUCCUGGCUCCCAGUGCUCUGUGCCCUGCACUGUUGGAUUCGUGCUCCAGGCCACGCAGCCCCCU
RNAcentral lists this microRNA precursor (90 nucleotides) under Canis lupus familiaris (dog). RNAcentral's name for it is "mir-8799 microRNA precursor family". It matches the Rfam family "mir-8799 microRNA precursor family". RNAcentral also lists the same sequence under 1 other name. Lineage: Eukaryota; Metazoa; Chordata; Mammalia; Carnivora; Canidae. The record is from Rfam by way of RNAcentral.